AUGGGCUCGACGUUCAGCCACGAGGAUGCUCCUCCGCCUCCUUCCCCAGCUCCCGCCGACGCGCCACCUCUUCCCUACGCCCCGAUGCCUCCCCCGCCGUUGCCGCCCCAGGAGGAGGACAAGGCGGCGGAGGACGACAAGGUGGACUACCUGAAUCUCCGCUGCCCUAUUCCCUACGAAGAAGCCCAGCGCGAGGCCUCGAUGACGCUCAAGCCCGACGUGUUCGAGGGCUUUCGCUUCGAUUUCGUCAAGCCGGUCAGCCAGGUCUUGUUUUUGAGCCACAGUGCGUCAAUGGGAUCCAUGGAGGUCCCUUCACAGGGACCUGAAGUGAUCAAGGUCCCCACCUCCCAGUACGAGUUUGGCGCCAACUAUAUUGAUCCCAAGCUGAUGCUCAUCGGUAGGAUCGCGCCCGACGGAAGGCUGAAUGGACGUGUCAAGUACGAAGUCACAGAAAAUCUUUUCGCACAAAUGAAUGCUCAGUUGACAAACGAGCCUGGUUAUUCCCAAGGCAUGUUUAAUUUGGAUUACAAGGGCAAAGAUUUUAGAACCCAAUGUCAAGUCGGGAAUAAUGGCUUCUAUGGAGGGAACUACAUCCAGAGUGUAACGAAGAACCUCUCCCUGGGAACUGAAGGUUUUUGGCUUCAACAACAAAGGAAAUCAGGAGUUGGCUUUCUUGCUAGAUAUGACACGAAGAACAUGGUUGCAACUGGACAAAUUGCAAGCACUGGACUGGUUUCACUGAGUUACGUUCAGAAAGUGUCUAAUAAGGUUUCCCUUGCUACUGAUUUCAUGUACAAUCAUAUGUCAAAGGAUGUAACAGCAAGUGUGGGUUAUGAUUAUAUCAUGAGACAGAGUCGUUUGAGGGGAAAGGUAGAUACCAAUGGCGCAGUUUCUGCUCUUUUGGAGGAGAAAAUCAACCCAUACGCUACCUUGGUUCUUUCUGCAGAGAUUGAUCACUGGAAGAAGGAUAACAAGUUUGGGUUUGGCGUAAGGGUUGGAGAGUAA
This 1005-nucleotide ribosomal RNA is filed under the name Triticum aestivum (bread wheat). Its description in RNAcentral is "partial small subunit ribosomal RNA". The record is from RNAcentral. Lineage: Eukaryota; Viridiplantae; Streptophyta; Magnoliopsida; Poales; Poaceae.